RNAcentral lists this ribosomal RNA (253 nucleotides) under uncultured bacterium. RNAcentral describes it as "partial 16S ribosomal RNA". It matches the Rfam family "Bacterial small subunit ribosomal RNA", at positions 524 to 776 of the family's 1533-position model. The record is from RNAcentral.
GACGGAGGGGGCAAGCGUUGUCCGGAAUCACUGGGCGUAAAGCGCACGUAGGCGGGACGGUGCGUCGGUGCUGAAAGCGCCAGGCUUAACCUGGCGAGGCGUGCCGAUACGACCGACCUCGAGGCAGACAGAGGGUGGUGGAAUUCCCGGUGUAGUGGUGAUAUGCGUAGAUAUCGGGAGGAACACCAGUGGCGAAGGCGGCUUUCUGGGCAUUAACUGACGCUGAGGAGCGAAAGCAUGGGGAGCGAACAGG